RNAcentral lists this ribosomal RNA (520 nucleotides) under Bifidobacterium bifidum. RNAcentral describes it as "bacterial SSU rRNA". It matches the Rfam family "Bacterial small subunit ribosomal RNA", at positions 164 to 696 of the family's 1533-position model. Lineage: Bacteria; Bacillati; Actinomycetota; Actinomycetes; Bifidobacteriales; Bifidobacteriaceae. The record is from RNAcentral.
UAAUGCCGGAUGUUCCACAUGAUCGCAUGUGAUUGUGGGAAAGAUUCUAUCGGCGUGGGAUGGGGUCGCGUCCUAUCAGCUUGUUGGUGAGGUAACGGCUCACCAAGGCUUCGACGGGUAGCCGGCCUGAGAGGGCGACCGGCCACAUUGGGACUGAGAUACGGCCCAGACUCCUACGGGAGGCAGCAGUGGGGAAUAUUGCACAAUGGGCGCAAGCCUGAUGCAGCGACGCCGCGUGAGGGAUGGAGGCCUUCGGGUUGUAAACCUCUUUUGUUUGGGAGCAAGCCUUCGGGUGAGUGUACCUUUCGAAUAAGCGCCGGCUAACUACGUGCCAGCAGCCGCGGUAAUACGUAGGGCGCAAGCGUUAUCCGGAUUUAUUGGGCGUAAAGGGCUCGUAGGCGGCUCGUCGCGUCCGGUGUGAAAGUCCAUCGCUUAACGGUGGAUCUGCGCCGGGUACGGGCGGGCUGGAGUGCGGUAGGGGAGACUGGAAUUCCCGGUGUAACGGUGGAAUGUGUAGAUA